This 509-nucleotide ribosomal RNA is filed under the name uncultured Alcaligenaceae bacterium. Its description in RNAcentral is "partial 16S ribosomal RNA". Lineage: Bacteria; Pseudomonadati; Pseudomonadota; Betaproteobacteria; Burkholderiales; Alcaligenaceae. The record is from RNAcentral.
CACGUAGUUAGCCGGUGCUUAUUCUACAGGUACCGUCAUCUACAGAGGUUAUUAGCCUCUAUCAUUUCUUCCCUGUCAAAAGUGCUUUACAACCCGAAGGCCUUCAUCACACACGCGGGAUGGCUGGAUCAGGGUUUCCCCCAUUGUCCAAAAUUCCCCACUGCUGCCUCCCGUAGGAGUCUGGGCCGUGUCUCAGUCCCAGUGUGGCUGGUCGUCCUCUCAAACCAGCUACGGAUCGUCGCCUUGGUAGGCCUUUACCCCACCAACUAGCUAAUCCGAUAUCGGCCGCUCCAAUAGUGAGAGGUCUUGCGAUCCCCCCCUUUCCCCGUAGGGCGUAUGCGGUAUUAGCCACUCUUUCGAGUAGUUAUCCCCCGCUACUGGGCACGUUCCGAUACAUUACUCACCCGUCCGCCACUCGCCACCAAGAGAGCAAGCUCUCUCGUGCUGCCGUUCGACUUGCAUGUGUAAAGCAUCCCGCUAGCGUUCAAUCUGAGCCAGGAUCAAACUCU